RNAcentral lists this ribosomal RNA (468 nucleotides) under uncultured bacterium. RNAcentral's name for it is "partial 16S ribosomal RNA". It matches the Rfam family "Bacterial small subunit ribosomal RNA", at positions 28 to 507 of the family's 1533-position model. The record is from RNAcentral.
GACGAACGCUGGCGGCGUGCUUAACACAUGCAAGUCGAACGGAAAGGCCCUGCUUUUGUGGGGUGCUCGAGUGGCGAACGGGUGAGUAACACGUGAGUAACCUGCCCUUGACUUUGGGAUAACUUCAGGAAACUGGGGCUAAUACCGGAUAGGAGCUCCUGCUGCAUGGUGGGGGUUGGAAAGUUUCGGCGGUUGGGGAUGGACGGGCGGCUUAUCAGCUUGUUGGUGGGGUAGUGGCUUACCAAGGCUUUGACGGGUAGCCGGCCUGAGAGGGUGACCGGCCACAUUGGGACUGAGAUACGGCCCAGACGAGUACGGGAGGCAGCAGUGGGGAAUAUUGCACAGUGGGCGGAAGCCUGAGGCAGCAACGUCGCGUGCGGGAUGACGGCCAUCGUGUUGGAAACCGCUUUCGCCUGUGACGAAGCGGGAGUGACGGUAAUGGGUAAAGAAGCACCGGCUAACUACGUG